RNAcentral lists this ribosomal RNA (252 nucleotides) under uncultured bacterium. RNAcentral's name for it is "partial 16S ribosomal RNA". It matches the Rfam family "Bacterial small subunit ribosomal RNA", at positions 524 to 776 of the family's 1533-position model. The record is from RNAcentral.
UACGGAGGAUGCGAGCGCUAUCCGGAUUUAUUGGGUUUAAAGGGUGCGUAGGCGGACUGUCAAGUCAGCGGUAAAAUUGAGAGGCUCAACCUCUUCCCGCCGUUGAAACUGGUGGUCUUGAGUGGAUGAGAAGUACGCGGAAUGCGUGGUGUAGCGGUGAAAUGCAUAGAUAUCACGCAGAACUCCGGUUGCGAAGGCAGCGUACCGGCAUCCAACUGACGCUGAGGCACGAAAGCGUGGGGAUCAAACAGG